CCUACGGGGGGCAGCAGUGGGGAAUAUUGCACAAUGGGGGAAACCCUGAUGCAGCGACGCCGCGUGAGUGAAGAAGUAUUUCGGUAUGUAAAGCUCUAUCAGCAGGGAAGAAAAUGACGGUACCUGACCAAGAAGCCCCGGCUAACUACGUGCCAGCAGCCGCGGUAAUACGUAGGGGGCAAGCGUUAUCCGGAUUUACUGGGUGUAAAGGGAGCGUAGACGGCUGAGCAAGUCAGAAGUGAAAGCCCGGGGCUCAACCCCGGGACUGCUUUUGAAACUGCGGAGCUGGAGUGCAGGAGAGGUAA
Molecule: ribosomal RNA, 305 nt
Filed under: uncultured bacterium
Lineage: Bacteria
Description: bacterial SSU rRNA
Rfam family: Bacterial small subunit ribosomal RNA
Source: RNAcentral